Molecule: long non-coding RNA, 320 nt
Organism: Mya arenaria
Lineage: Eukaryota; Metazoa; Mollusca; Bivalvia; Myida; Myidae
Exons: 3
Source: RefSeq, a predicted model, not a curated record
AAUCAAUACCAUCUGCGUUAAGAUGUCGGGGAUGUGUUAGACGAAUGAUUUUGUUUUAUGGAGCUUUGAAGAGCGAUGAAUGGCACUAAAGUGGUGCCAAAUUGAUAUCUCAAACACCCAUUGUUGAUGUGUGAUGCUGAUAAUACAGAGACAGCUAGAGUGACAGAGUUUGAUGAAUAAACUUAAAUUAAAAAACAGAAAUAACCACCAUCUCUCUCAGAGGUCGUCUUUCUCAUUAUUGUGGGGAAACCUCAAAGGGCAUCAGGAAAACCUUCAUCAACCUCUUUGUGCCCAGUGGCUUGUGCAACGGUGUUUCAGAA